Molecule: long non-coding RNA, 2908 nt
Filed under: Equus caballus (horse)
Lineage: Eukaryota; Metazoa; Chordata; Mammalia; Perissodactyla; Equidae
Description: lncRNA (ENSECAG00000046322.1)
Source: RNAcentral
GCCCAUUCUGAGGUCCUAGGGGUGAGGACUUCAUCACAUCUUUUUGAGCACCAUAGUUCAACCCACAGUACAUGGUUAGGGCUCCUCCAGGGCCUUGCACAGGGCUGUGCCAGUGAGGGGCUCUGAAGCUUAAGCUUCCUGAGCAUCACAACCCCUCUCCCCAGGCUUAGACCAGAGAAUGGCCUGGUGAUGGUGGGUGUACCACCCCAGGAGGCACAGCAGACCCCUCAGUGCCCUCCUGCCCACUCUGGAGGUUCCCCUUCCGCUUUGUGCAGAAGCCUUCCUGGGUCUCUUUGCCUAAGGGCUUCCCCUGUCCCCCACCCCCAGCAGACUAGAAGUGUCCCCAGGAGAAACCGUCAACCACAGAGGGCCAGGGAUUGGUGAAUGUACGCCUCAGCUUCCUCCCGCCUCAGAGGGACUUAAAAAAUCUUUCGUGGCUAACGCAGAUGCAGAAGAACGCUCCGAGCAAACGCAGGGCUUCACGGAUUACUCCACGGGCCGUACCCACGGCGGGACUGUUCCGUGGAAGCUCCACCCAGCCGCUCAGGGGUCGCAGUCGCACACAGCGGUUGCCUCUGACUUCCUCUGUGACCUGUUUGCCUCCCCGUGCUCCUGGGAUCACCUCCCAAAUAAGCUGCUUGUCCCCAGGUUCUUGUCUCAGGGUGAGCUUUUGGUGAAACUCAGAAUCAGGUGGUUGGCGAGGACAGGCAUCUUUAGAGGUGGCAUUUGAGGUGAGACCUGAGCACCGAGAAGGAACUGGCGGUGCCGAGAUCUGUGUCCCAGGCGGAGGGAACCGAGGCGGCCCUGAGGCAGAGUGGCCCUGCGUGUGGCUGGAACGCAGCGAGUGAGAGGGGGAGCCUGAGCAGGGCCUGGGAGAGGCAAGCAGAAGCCAGAUCUCAGAGGGCCAGCAGUCUGGGUCCGUGUGCGCAGGCGCACGGCUGUGAGGCGUGUGGGAGGUGAGGAGACUAGAGGUCUCUCCUCUUUCUUUCUUCUCUUUCCACUUCCCCCCGCACACACCUGACACAUCCACACACUCACACACAUUCACAGGAGGUUGAGUUUUUUUAGGAUUUUUUUUUUUAAUUUUAAUUUUUUUCCUUUUUCUCCCCAAAGCCCCCCGGUACAUAGUUGUAUAUUCUUCACUGUGGGUCCUUCUAGUUGUGGCAUGUGGGACGCUGCCUCAGCGUGGUUUGAUGAGCAGUGUCAUGUCCGCGCCCAGGAUUCGAACCAAGGAAACACUGGGCCACCUGCAGCGGAGCGCGCGAACUUAACCCCUCGGCCACGGGGCCAGCCCCACAGGAGGUUGAGUUUUGAAAACCUAAUUUCAUGUGGCCAUUCCAGUCCCACAGCACGUAUCUAUUCAGAUCAGCGCUGUCCCAAUGACCAAUGGCAACACCUUGAGGUUCCCAGUGGCAGUAGUAACCAUCACAACUGAGACCCACACUGCAACAGUGCCUUUAAGAUAUGAGCUCCACAAACCAUCCCAGCCGCCUGGAGAGCCAGAGGAACCCUCAGGACAGCCAAGUCCAAAUGGGUCGGGAGCAACGUCACGGUUUUCUCUAGUAGUGCAGCCAUCAGCCUGAGCUGGUUGCAGAGAUGGCUCAUUGCCUCAUUAGCUGCUUCCCCCUGGCAUGUGGGAAGAUGAUGGGGACGUGGACGAGCCCAGCCCUCACUGAAGACCAUCCUUCCAAUUCUGGCUGUCUGUGCUGGAGCAUUCAGACACCCCAGGAUUCCCAGCUGAUGGCAGUGCGGCCCAACGCCCUCCUUUCACACAUGAGCAAACAGAGAGGAAAAUUCUAGGUGCCCCAGAUCCAAGAGGGGUACUGUCUGUUCAUACUCCCCAAGCAGCCAGGUCACAGACACGGUCCUUGGCCCUUGCUUUUGGUCUUGUGUGCCAAUCCACACACGCCUGGGAGAGCAACUACCUUCUGAACAUCACUGACGCAUCUACUUGGCAUUUGAAAGCUUCCCCUUGGCUGGAUCCAAGAAUUAGCUUCCUGAGCCAUCUGCCAAUUCACACUCAACUUAGCACAUACAAAGCUGUCUUUUUUGACGUGCUGCUCCCCAUUCUUUCACCUCUACCACGUCAUUAACUCUGACCAAGAAGUCCCUGCAUGAUCUGACCUGCAUGUCCUUGUGUUGUCAGAUCCUGUUCCCUCUCCCAGGCGGGACUCUCCCUGGGUUGUCACCACACCCCUUCUUGCUAAAGCCCCACCACAGACGUGGCCCACAGCACUCCAGGCUUGCUCAAGUCUGCAGGCUCUGCUCCCUGCUCUCUCUUUCCCCUGCUCUGAGCUUCCCUGACCAGGAACGUGCGUGCUCAUCCUUGUCCUGUCUCAGAAUCGAACACACCGAGAGCAUCUUAGGGGUUUGUGCUCUUGGGUUUCUGAGGAUACAGUUUCUCCAGGGCAUUCCCAGCCCUAGGCCGUCAGACUGUCCUUGCUCCGUUCCAAAUGAGCAAGGCUCCUGAAAGAUUUUCCUAAGACAAGAAACAACACAUUUCCCUGUUCACACAGAGCUUCCAAGUCAGCCGGGCAAGCAGGAUUGCAGAAAGAGCACGGCCUUUAGCUGCCCGGGGUCCGGGCAUUGGCUCACCAUGCACGCCUGCAGGCUAAUCUCUCUGGAGCUCCAUUUGUCCUUCCAUGAAAGCGUGGUCCCCCACGCUUAUCUCCGUCAGCAGGCGGACGUGGAUUAGAUGCCCACCUGCACGUAGUCUGUCAGAGUGGUGACAGCUGCUCCACGGGAGCUGCUGUGUGCCCUCCACCCAGUUCCAGCCACAUCGUGACCCUCCCGAGUCCCUGAUUAUUGAAUUCUGACUCCACACACCCAUCCCACCGCUGGAGCAUCAGCUCCUUCAUUUGGGACCACAUUUUGUCUUUGGAUCCUCACUGCCUCAUGCAAUGCCUGG